Molecule: ribosomal RNA, 253 nt
Filed under: uncultured bacterium
Lineage: Bacteria
Description: partial 16S ribosomal RNA
Rfam family: Bacterial small subunit ribosomal RNA
Source: RNAcentral
GACGAACUGUGCAAACGUUAUUCGGAAUCACUGGGCUUGAAGAGUGCGUAGGCGGUUUUGUAAGUCGGGUGUGAAAGCCCCCGGCUCAACCGGGGAAUUGCGCCCGAAACUGCAAGGCUGGAGUGAGGUAGGGGUGUGUGGAACUUCCAGUGGAGCGGUGAAAUGUGUUGAUAUCGGAAGGAACGCCAGUGGCGAAAGCGACACACUGGGUCUCAACUGACGCUGAGGCACGAAAACCAGGGGAGCAAACGGG